AGCAGCCGCGGUAAUUCCAGCUCCAAUAGCGUAUAUUAAAGUUGUUGCAGUUAAAAAGCUCGUAGUUGAAUUUCGGGAUCAAAGGAUCGGUCAUGCCUUGGUAUGUACUGGUUUUAUUGGUUCUCACCUUCUAAAGAACCAUAAUGUCAUUCAUUUGAUGUUAUGGGGAAUUAGGACUGUUACCUUGAAAAAAUUAGAGUGUUUAAAGCAGGCUUACGCUUGAAUACAUUAGCAUGGAAUAAUGAAAUAGGACAUCAGAUUCUAUUUUGUUGGUUUCUAGGAUCGAUGUAAUGAUUAAUAGGGAUAGUUGGGGGCAUUAGUAUUCAAUUGUCAGAGGUGAAAUUCUUGGAUUUAUUGAAGACUAACUACUGCGAAAGCAUUUGCCAAGGAUGUUUUCAUUAAUCAAGAACGAAAGUUAGGGGAUCGAAGACGAUCAGAUACCGUCGUAGUCUUAACCAUAAACUAUGCCGACUAGGGAUCGGAUGAUGUUAAUUUUUUAAUGACUCAUUCGGCGCCUUAC
Molecule: unclassified non-coding RNA, 520 nt
Filed under: uncultured Glomus
Lineage: Eukaryota; Fungi; Glomeromycota; Glomeromycetes; Glomerales; Glomeraceae
Description: SSU rRNA
Rfam family: Eukaryotic small subunit ribosomal RNA
Source: RNAcentral